UCCGGUUGAUCCUGCCGGACCCCACUGCUAUCGGGGAUAGGACUAAGACAUGCUAGUUGAGCGCUUCCAGCCAACACGGGAGCGCAGCGCACAGCUCAGUAACACGUGGCUAAUCUGCCCUUGGGACCGGAACACCCCCGGGAAACUGGGGCUAAUUCUCGAUAGGUGAAGAACUCUGGAAUGAGUCUUUGCCAAAAAGACGUUUGCGUUAUGCUCGUAGACGUCGCCCAAGGAUGAGGCCGCGACCGAUCAGGUUGUUGGUGAGGUAAUGGCUCACCAAGCCUUUUACCGGUGCGGGCCGUGAGAGCGGGAGCCCGGAGAUGGGCACUGAGACAAGGGCCCAGGCCCUACGGGGCGCAGCAGUCGCGAAAACUUUGCAAUACACGAAAGUGUGACAGGGCUAUCCCGAGUGCCAUCCGCUGAGGAAGGCUUUUACCCAGUCUAGAACGCUGGGGGAAUAAGGAGAGGGCAAGUCUGGUGUCAGCCGCCGCGGUAAUACCAGCUCUCCGAGUGGUGUGGAUGUUUAUUGGGCCUAAAGCAUCCGUAGCUGGCUGAGUCAGUCCCUUGUUAAAUCCACCGAAUUAAUCGUUGGAUUGCGGGGGAUACUGCUCGGCUAGGGGACGAGAGAGGCAGACGGUAUUUCCGGGGUAGGGGUGAAAUCCUAUAAUCCCGGGAAGACCACCAGUGGCGAAGGCUGUCUGCUAGAACGCGCCCGACGGUGAGGGAUGAAAGCUGGGGGAGCGAACCGGAUUAGAUACCCGGGUAGUCCCAGCUGUAAACGAUGCAGGCUAGGUGUUUGGACGGCACGUGCCGUUCUAGUGCCGCAGGAAGCUGUUAAGCCUGCCGCCUGGGAGUACGAUCGCAAG
Molecule: ribosomal RNA, 866 nt
Filed under: uncultured archaeon
Lineage: Archaea
Description: bacterial SSU rRNA
Rfam family: Archaeal small subunit ribosomal RNA
Source: RNAcentral